This is a long non-coding RNA of Neofelis nebulosa (Clouded leopard), 1746 nucleotides long. RefSeq lists it as uncharacterized. The transcript has 3 exons. The record is from RefSeq and is a predicted model, not a curated record. Lineage: Eukaryota; Metazoa; Chordata; Mammalia; Carnivora; Felidae.
AAGUGCUUUGCAAUUGUUAAAUUAACAGAAAAACCCAAUCUGUUGUGUUACAUAGCUGGUGUUCUGUACCUGAGCACUUCUCACGACAGCCUGGGAUUAUGGCCCGGUAUUACUCUCCAGGAAAGGGAGACCCAAAAUGGUGGCCUCACGUAUCCUCUUGUAAAUAAAAUCAGACAUAGAUCUGUCCCAUAGAGGGUGGAAUUUUCUAUUUUUAAACUUCACUUGAUAUAUUUUAUGGACCCAGGGUGUCCAGUAAACUAAAGCAGGCAUUUAGGAUUGGCACCAAGAUGUCAAAGAAAAAUCAGUCCCGUCCUCAGAUUGGAGAAAAGAGACACAGGCUGAGACGCAAGGCAGGUGGGAAGGAGAGUUGAUGAGGGAGCAAAAGGGAAAGGAAGGCAGAGCACAAGCUAACACCCUACACCGCCUCCUCUGCAGUGGGAUCUGUGUGACAUUCCUCAGGCGCCCCUGAUGCCCAAAAACAAAAGGAAGGGAAAAACAAAUGGUUAACUGUUAGAGAUCACAGUCAUGCGGGACACGGGACAUGACUCUUCAUCAGUUUGCAACUGUCUUAGUAAUUUACAAGAAAAACGCCAUCCCCAGAAACCUGUAGACUCACUUCCCUGGGACCCCCACCUCCAUGGGAAAGAAAAUCUUAUGUAAUCAGUCACUCCUCACAAUCCUAGGGCAGCUCUUUUCUGUCCCCAGGUCCUGUCCCUGUGCUAUAAUAAAAUCACCUUUUUGCACCAAAAAUGUCUCAAGAAUUCUUUCUUGGCCGUUGUCUCCGGAACCCCCGCCUCCAGACAUGCCGGAAUGAGCUCUGAGGACUGAGAGCCCUGCCUGUGCACUGCAGUGAAGAGACGCCUGACUCCUAGAUUAGCACGGGAGGGACCCUUUUCACUUGUCCAGAGACGCUCAGGGAAGAAGGGAAUUGGGAUGAAAGGUCUUUGGAGUUUCCCGCUUGUCUAAGUCCAGCUGCCUGAUAAGUCUUUCCUUCCCUGGGAGUUGGGAGAAGCAGGCUGGCCAUACAGCUUGGAAUGCAAGUGAGAUGGCUGGAGCUCUAGCCGGCUUAGAUCCCAGCUGUGGGGGAAGGGCUGCUAACAGGAACCUGGCAAAUCUGUGGAGUUUCCAUACCGGCCCCGGACUUUCUGGAUUUCCUGGACUUCUACAUCUGGACUGUUUUUGUAUGGGAGAGACAUGAACCUCUUUCAGCCACUAUCAUUUUGGGUUGUCUAGUCAACAGAACUUAACCUAAUCUCCCAAUAGCAAUGCGUUGCUAUUCCUUUGGGGGGGGAAAAAAGUAGCCAUAAAAUCAUCUGCUCUUUAUCUGUUUUGUUUCCGUGUAUUUAAUUGGGAUUCUGUAACUUCCUGAAUGUCAUUUGCAUGUAUUAGUCUGUUUCGAUUUUCAUUCCCCUUCUUGAAUCAGUUAGGUCAUUCGAUUUCUUUUAAAAAGUAAUUUCUCAAAAUGUUCAAGUUUAUUUGCACGCAAUUCUUCAAAUUACUCUCAAAGCUAGGAUUUCCUGCAUAUGCUCUCUUGAUUCCAUUUUACUUCCUGUUUUCUUUUUUAAAACUCUGCAUUCGAAUAGUCAGUGAUUUAUCCAGUAUGGUAGCAUUUUUCCCCUUAAGGACGAGAACUUUGUUUUCUUUCUGGAACUUGCCUGCACCUGAAUCAGUUUCUCAUUUUAUCUCUAUUACCCUUAUGGCUUCCAAAGGUUUGUUUUGUUAAUUUAAAAAAAGGUCUUAGUUGAA